Molecule: long non-coding RNA, 2271 nt
Filed under: Triticum aestivum (bread wheat)
Lineage: Eukaryota; Viridiplantae; Streptophyta; Magnoliopsida; Poales; Poaceae
Description: long non-coding RNA (TAES_LNC026742)
Source: RNAcentral
UUCAGUUUCUUUUUACAUUAAGGUAUAUAUAUUCAGUUUAGUUACCUGUUUUGUUCACUAGUUGGUCAAUAAUCUUGUAUCAUCUAUUGCAGGUGUAGCAGCAUGGUUUUCUCCUGGUGAUUGGCCGAUAAUCUUCUUUUAUCUAUUUUGUUUAUAGCUUGCGCACAGCCUCGCGAGAUCUUGAAACUAUCGAUGGGCUAGAAGACUGGUUCUAAGGUAAGACUUGCUGCCGUACCUCAGAGAGCUUCGGACCUUAGUUUCAUAACUUCAGUGGAAUGAAUUGUGAUGAUUUAUAGGCUAGCAUGUCGGAAAACGAUUAGAGUUAAGAUGGAUUUGACAACCACAAAUAAUUAGCUGGUUGAUCAAUCUGUAUCUAACUGUAUUUUGUAACUCAAUGAAAGAAUUUCAGUAGUAGUUUGGUGUGGAGUAGUUUGACAACCACAAAUAAUUAGUAUGCUGUAACUCAUGGCCCUUUAACUGACCAAAACAAACCAGCAAAUCAUAUAAAUUGGCAACCGGAAAAAAAUUGAAAGGGAAGAAUGCCAAAUGAUUAAGAAUUUAUACCUCAAUACAAGUUUCUACGCAAACUGCUGCACAUAUCCUCAGUCACAUUCACACCUGGCUCCUGUAUAACACAAAACAUUAUCCCUCUGUUUUUAAUUGUUAUAUUUUAUAAGACUUAUAUUCAAUUAUUUUUGGGAUCCAUACUUGCGUUUCAACAGAACUGUCCUAUUUGUGGCAUGAGCUAACUCGAUUCACGUUUGCUCACGCAAAAGAAAAAAGAAAAACAUGAACUUAUAAUUCUACGGUGGCGUGCGUAAAUGUCAAUAAACUAUCACCAAAAUGUAGUUUAGGUCACACAAAUUAAAUUCAUGAAUAUACUUUAUAUGGGCCAAACUUAGCCUAUUCAUAAAUGGCCCUGGUCAAUGCUAUUGGUCAAUUAAAAGAGCAAUGACAACAAGCAGCCAAUGGGAAGCUUGCCAGUCUCUCUUGACUGGUUUGUUCCCUUCUUCUUCUGCAACUGCAAGCAGAUGAAGUUUCUGUCUUGAUCGCCGUUGAUUGAAAUGACCGUCAGUAGCUUCUCAGUUUAGCUACCGUCUGUAUCCAGGCACAUGUACAUUCAGUUUAGUUACCUGCACUUCUGGCACUCCUUUUUUUGUUCAAUAAUCUUGCAUCACCCAUUGCAGGUGCAGCAGCAUGGUUUCCCCCUGGUAAUUGACUGAUAAUUUUCUGUUAUCUAUUGCGAUUCUUAGCUUGCACUCAGCCUUGCGAGAUCUUUAAAACUAUAGAUGGGCUAGAAGACUGCAGGUUUAUAAGGUCAAAACUUGGUACCGUGGAAUAAAUUAUGAUGAUUGAUAGACUAGCAUGUACGGAACCAAUUAGAGUUAAGAUGAAUUAGACAAAAAAAUAUAAAUAUCUAGAUGAUUUAUCCAUAUCACUCUAUGUUGUAACUAAAUGCAACAUUUUCAGUAGUAGUUCGGUGUGGAGGCUUCUGUGCAGAUUGGCAACCGGAAAAACAAUUAAAGAACAGAAUGCCAGAUGAUUAAGAAUUGAGACCUUAAUACUUGGCACUACCGCUCAAGCUGUAUUUGCAUAGUUAUAUUAUUAUUAUUAUUGAAAAUGUAAAUGGCAGCCCACUAGUGAUAAAUUUCGUGAGCCUUGUCCUACUUUGAAAGCAUGUUAUCAUACCUUGUGCAUCCAUUUUCAGCUUUCGGUUUCAGCCAGACUCAAGGAAUAUCCUAGUGUUUUUGGUGGACCUCUGGCGCUGAGUUUGUCUGAUCCAUGGCAGCCGUACUUGAAACUUUGCUUAAAUCAAGUGUCAAUAAGUUGCAAGAUGUCAUUACAGAUGAGGCCAUACUAAUCCUAGGGGUGGAAGAAGAGCUCACAAAAACUACUGCGACGAGUGGAACUAAUUCAGUGUUGUAUAUACCAUGCUGAGAAAAGGAGGACAAAAGAGCAAGCAGUAAACAAUUGGCUUGGUCAACUGAGAGAUGUUGUAUAUGAUGUUGAUGAAAUCUUGGACGUGGCUAGAUGUAAAGGAAGCGAGCUACUUGCUGACCACCCUUCACCAUCAUCAGACAAAUCAGUUGAAUGUAAAGGCCUUUCAGUUUCCUCCUGUUUUUGCAACAUAGUGCCACGCCGUGAUGUUGCAGAAUGCAUGACCUCUUAAGACAGCUUGCUUUAAAUAUAUCAAGAGAAGAAUGUUUUGUUGGAGAUGUUGAAUCAUUAAGGGGUGAAAAUAUGUCAAAACUGCGACGUGUUACUGCUGUU